UACGAAGGGGGCUAGCGUUGUUCGGAAUUACUGGGCGUAAAGGGCGCGUAGGCGGCCGAUUAAGUUAGAUGUGAAAGUCCUGGGCUCAACCUGGGGACUGCAUUUAAUACUGGUUGGCUUGAAUUCGGGAGAGGAUAGCGGAAUUCCCAGUGUAGAGGUGAAAUUCGUAGAUAUUGGGAAGAACACCGGUGGCGAAGGCGGCUAUCUGGACCGACAUUGACGCUGAGGCGCGAAAGCUAGGGGAGCAAACGGG
Molecule: ribosomal RNA, 253 nt
Filed under: uncultured bacterium
Lineage: Bacteria
Description: partial 16S ribosomal RNA
Rfam family: Bacterial small subunit ribosomal RNA
Source: RNAcentral